RNAcentral lists this ribosomal RNA (253 nucleotides) under uncultured bacterium. Its description in RNAcentral is "partial 16S ribosomal RNA". It matches the Rfam family "Bacterial small subunit ribosomal RNA", at positions 524 to 776 of the family's 1533-position model. The record is from RNAcentral.
UACGAAGGGGGCUAGCGUUGCUCGGAAUUACUGGGCGUAAAGCGCACGUAGGCGGCUUCUUAAGUCGGUGGUGAAAUCCUGGAGCUCAACUCCAGAACUGCCUUCGAUACUGGGAAGCUCGAGUCCGGGAGAGGUGAGUGGAACUGCGAGUGUAGAGGUGAAAUUCGUAGAUAUUCGCAAGAACACCAGUGGCGAAGGCGGCUCACUGGCCCGGUACUGACGCUGAGGUGAGAAAGCGUGGGGAGCAAACAGG